RNAcentral lists this ribosomal RNA (242 nucleotides) under Exophiala tremulae. Its description in RNAcentral is "partial large subunit ribosomal RNA". The record is from RNAcentral. Lineage: Eukaryota; Fungi; Ascomycota; Eurotiomycetes; Chaetothyriales; Herpotrichiellaceae.
GCGCUGGCAACCAGACUUGCGCGCGGCGGUUCCCCCUUCCUUUUGGUUGGGCUACUCCGUCGUGUCCAGGCCAACAUCGGUUCUGGGGGUCGGUUAAAGACCCUGGGAAUGUACCUACCCUUCGGGCGUAGACUUAUAGCUCAGGGUGUCAUGCGACCUCCCGGGACCGAGGAACGCGCUUCGGCUCGGAUGUUGGCGUAAUGGUUGUCAGCGACCCGUCUUGAAACACGGACCAAGGAGUC